AUGGGCAAGGAAAAUCGGACUCAGAAAAGAAUUGAUUUGGUGUUUAAAAGGAAAAGAGAUGAUAUAAUUGAAGUUGAGGAAGACCAAGUAUUGCCCUUACUUGAAUUGGAACAGCAACAACCUGAACAACAACAUAACCAAGACGGAGGAGUUCGAACAAAUGAAGUUGUUACAUUCCGGGGUAUUGAGUUCUUGCAGCGGGAUCUUGGAUUGCGCCCUCAAAUUUGGCAAUAUCCACCAGACCAGAGAGAUAUCGUGAGGAGAGCAUAUUUGAUGUUAGGUCCUAUGCAACCCCGCCUAGAGAACUAUAAACCUUCUCGUGAACCAGGGCAUCAACGCCGCUUCCAAUAUAGUUGGUUUGAUGAUUUUCCGUCAUGGCUAGAGUAUUCAGAGGAGAAAAGUUGUGUGUAUUGUCUAUAUUGA
RNAcentral lists this ribosomal RNA (423 nucleotides) under Triticum aestivum (bread wheat). RNAcentral's name for it is "partial small subunit ribosomal RNA". Lineage: Eukaryota; Viridiplantae; Streptophyta; Magnoliopsida; Poales; Poaceae. The record is from RNAcentral.